Molecule: non-coding RNA, 75 nt
Organism: Myotis brandtii (Brandt's bat)
Lineage: Eukaryota; Metazoa; Chordata; Mammalia; Chiroptera; Vespertilionidae
Source: Rfam
GGCAGUUCUCAGGUAAUGCACCCCAGAAUCAGGCUCUGUCCUCUCUGGUUCCAGGUGUGUCACCUGAGAACCGCA